UUGAAAGGGAAACGAUUGAAGUCAGUCGUACCUAUGGGUAAUCAGCCUUUUGGGUGUGAUUUUGUGGAGCGUGAGGAGUUAAACGCCUUCAUGCCUGCAUAUUCGUGCACUUUGGGUGUACUUGCCCGUAUGGUUGGUUAACAUCAAUUUUGGUGGUCAUAAAAUGACUGGAGGAAUGUAGCUUCGAUCUCGUAUUGAAGUGUUAUAGCCUUCGGUAGAUGUGAUGAUCGAGAUUGAGGAUUGCAACGGAUACCUUUCGGGGCUACCUGUCUGAUCUCUGAUCGUUGCUUUGGUGCUGAAAGCGUGCUUAUAGUUAUCAAAGUCGAUGGUCAAUAGGUUAGAAUGGGUUAAAUUCGUUAAGGAUGUUGACGUA
This 373-nucleotide ribosomal RNA is filed under the name uncultured Glomeromycotina. RNAcentral describes it as "LSU rRNA". Lineage: Eukaryota; Fungi; Glomeromycota. The record is from RNAcentral.